UACGUAGGGUGCGAGCGUUAAUCGGAAUUACUGGGCGUAAAGCGUGCGCAGGCGGAUUGUUAAGCAAGAUGUGAAAUCCCCGGGCUUAACCUGGGAAUGGCAUUUUGAACUGGCAGUCUAGAGUGCGUCAGAGGGGGGUGGAAUUCCACGUGUAGCAGUGAAAUGCGUAGAGAUGUGGAGGAACACCGAUGGCGAAGGCAGCCCCCUGGGAUGACACUGACGCUCAUGUACGAAAGCGUGGGUAGCAAACAGG
Molecule: ribosomal RNA, 253 nt
Filed under: uncultured bacterium
Lineage: Bacteria
Description: partial 16S ribosomal RNA
Rfam family: Bacterial small subunit ribosomal RNA
Source: RNAcentral